Molecule: long non-coding RNA, 552 nt
Filed under: Macaca mulatta (Rhesus monkey)
Lineage: Eukaryota; Metazoa; Chordata; Mammalia; Primates; Cercopithecidae
Description: lncRNA (ENSMMUG00000056581.1)
Source: RNAcentral
AGCAGAACAUGCAUUUUUGACCUUGUCUUACUAAUAAUUUUAUUUUGCAGGAGGAAGAGGAAGAAACAAAAGUAACUUCUCUCCUAGAUUUAAUUCUGACCUACCAGGAAGAACUGGUUGUUGAAGCCGAAGUACUGGAGUCUCUGGAGCCAGUAUCCACACAAUUCAUCCAUUCAUUCCUCAAGCAUGUGUUGAGCGUUUGGCGAUGCUUCAUGGUGUUGGACUCUGGGCAUUCACAGAUGAACACAUCUCACAAAAGGUGAAAAUGUGUAAAUCACGUGGGAUAGAGAACAUUCAGGGUUGAAAGUCAGAAUACAUGUUUGGUUAUAAUACUGCUUAUUAAGCAAGUAGAAAAUUAGAGUAAAUAUCAGAAUUCAGCCCUUUAAGAAGACAUACCUUCCAGAGAGCCUCAAAGGCAAGGUGGGCAUUUGAUGGCUUUAUCUGGGUACAUACACUGCAGGUUCACCGUGAGCAGGUGAGAGACAUGGUUAUACCUCUGAAAUGCUGCAAGUUCAUUUUUGAAGGAUUUGUCAUAGUGAAACAGGAAAAGUU